Molecule: long non-coding RNA, 728 nt
Organism: Zingiber officinale
Lineage: Eukaryota; Viridiplantae; Streptophyta; Magnoliopsida; Zingiberales; Zingiberaceae
Exons: 3
Source: RefSeq, a predicted model, not a curated record
CUCUUUUCCUUAAUUCCUCCGUUUCUCUUCCUCGCGCACCCGAGCCCUUUCUUCCCCGUGCCCUCACCCGCGCCUCUCUUCUCCCUCAUUCCCGAACCCGACACCAAAAGGAGCCCUAACCGCCGGCUGUAGCGGUUCCUCCUUUCAUCUUCUCCUCUUCUCGGUGAAGCCGAGCCUUUCCUCCCGACGCCACCCCAUGCCCUAGCCUCUCCUCCCUCACGCGCGCCACUGACGUUCCGACGCCGAGACACCGCCGGCCACAGGAACUCCAGUUGCCUGAGCCCUAGCCGGUGCCACCAUAGUCCUCUUCCUCUACAGACUUGGUGUCUCUAUGCCCUAGCGUCGGGCCGGUCUUCUUCUCCCUGUUGCCGGUGCCCUGGCCUCAGCCGCGACACCCAUCUCUACGACGACAUCCGAGCACAGCCGGCCCUAUCUAUGCCUUAGCGCAGACACACUUCUCUUGAGGGUGCCCUAGUGUGGAAUCUAAGCCCUAGUUCUUCCGCUUGCUGCCACUGCCGAGCAAAAUUGCUUCUUCCCUCUAUUUUUCAGCGAUCACCUCUGUGCCGGCCACCAAACUUGUCACUGCUCUUGAUCAGUCCACGCAUCAUUUGAUCUCCGACAGUAGAUAGAUUCCAGCAGCAAACGAUCCUACUUCCAACAGUGAUAAACGGCUGUGAGUUUCAGGAUCUUGACGCGAGACGAGUAUCUCGGAGUCAGAUUUGGACCAC